Molecule: ribosomal RNA, 377 nt
Filed under: uncultured eukaryote
Lineage: Eukaryota
Description: partial 18S ribosomal RNA
Rfam family: Eukaryotic small subunit ribosomal RNA
Source: RNAcentral
CAAUAGCGUAUAUUUAAGUUGCUGCAGUUAAAAAGCUCGUAGUUGGAUUUCGGGUGGGAAUGGCCGGUCCGCCGUUUCGGUGUGCACUUGCUACGCCCACCUUGCUGCCGGGGACGUGCUCUUGAGUUGACGCUCGGGACACGGAGUCGGCGAGGUUACUUUGAGUAAAUUAGAGUGUUCAAAGCAGGCCUACGCUCUGAAUACAUUAGCAUGGAAUAACACGAUAGGACUCUGGCCUAUCUUGUUGGUCUGUAGGACCGGAGUAAUGAUUAAGAGGGACAGUCGGGGGCAUUCGUAUUUCAUUGUCAGAGGUGAAAUUCUUGGAUUUAUGAAAGACGAACUACUGCGAAAGCAUUUGCCAAGGAUGUUUUCAUUAA